Molecule: unclassified non-coding RNA, 923 nt
Filed under: uncultured bacterium
Lineage: Bacteria
Description: partial contains 16S ribosomal RNA, 16S-23S ribosomal RNA intergenic spacer
Rfam family: Bacterial small subunit ribosomal RNA (bases 1-294)
Source: RNAcentral
AAAGGGCAGCAAACUCGCGAGAGCUAGCAAAUCCCAUAAACCGUGGCUCAGUUCAGAUCGUAGGCUGCAACUCGCCUACGUGAAGUAGGAAUCGCUAGUAAUCGCAGGUCAGCAUACUGCGGUGAAUACGUUCCCGGGCCUUGUACACACCGCCCGUCACACCAUGGAAGUUGGCCAUGCCCGAAGUCGUUACUCCAACCCUUGUGGAGGAGGACGCCGAAGGUGGGGCUAAUGACUGGGGUGAAGUCGUAACAAGGUAGCCGUACCGGAAGGUGCGGCUGGAUCACCUCCUAACAGGGAGACAACAAAAUGUUUAAUAUUAUUAUUUUGUCACCUUAGGUCGAUCGGUAUCUCACGUUCUUAAUUUUUUAAGAAUUUCAUUUCCUAAGUUUUUCUAGGUCACACCCAUUAUUUUUCCUGGGCCAUUAGCUCAGGUGGUUAGAGCGCACCCCUGAUAAGGGUGAGGUCCCUGGUUCAAGUCCAGGAUGGCCCAUAUCUCUAUGUUGGGGGUAUAGCUCAGUUGGUAGAGCGCCUGCUUUGCAAGCAGGAUGUCAGCGGUUCGAGUCCGCUUACCUCCACUGAUUACCACCUCUUCCAUAACUGGUAGAAAGGAAAUGUUUUGAGUUGUGAUCAUUUUUCUGAGCGAAUCUAGCUUCCUAAUGAAAUCAUUAAGAUGCUGGACUCAUUGAAUUAAUUUCAUUGUUUUCAGAGAACCUUGACAACUGCAUAGAUUAUUUUUAAAGACAAUAAGCAUCUUUAAUGAUGCAGAUUUAUUAUUUGUGCGAAUGCAUUAAUAACAAUUCUAUUAAGCUGAUGCUUCAAUUUUUGAAGUUAUUGGUCAAGCUACAAAGGGCUCACGGAGGAUACCUAGGCACACAGAGGCGAUGAAGGACGUGGUUACCUGCGAUAAGUCUCGGGGAGUG